RNAcentral lists this ribosomal RNA (478 nucleotides) under uncultured bacterium. RNAcentral describes it as "partial 16S ribosomal RNA". It matches the Rfam family "Bacterial small subunit ribosomal RNA", at positions 28 to 507 of the family's 1533-position model. The record is from RNAcentral.
GACGAACGCUGGCGGCGUGCUUAACACAUGCAAGUCGAACGGGAUUUAGUAGACAGAAGCCUCGGCUAAAGAUUACUAAUGAGAGUGGCGAACGGGUGAGUAACGCGUGAGCAACCUGCCUAUGACAGUGGGAUAGCCUCGGGAAACCGGGAUUAAUACCGCAUAAAAUCGUAGAAACACAUGUUUCAACGGUCAAAGAUUUAUCGGUCAUAGAUGGGCUCGCGUCUGAUUAGCUAGUUGGUGAGAUAACAGCCCACCAAGGCGACGAUCAGUAGCCGGUCUGAGAGGAUGAACGGACACAUUGGAACUGAGACACGGUCCAAACUCCUACGGGAGGCAGCAGUGGGGAAUAUUGCACAAUGGGGGAAACCCUGAUGCAGCGACGCCGCGUGAACGAAGAAGGUAUUCGUAUCGUAAAGUUCUGUCCUAUGGGAAGAUAAUGACAGUACCAUAGAAGAAAGCUCCGGCUAAAUACGUG